CCUACGGGCGGCAGCAGUGGGGAAUAUUGGGCAAUGGGCGCAAGCCUGACCCAGCAACGCCGCGUGAAGGAAGAAGGCUUUCGGGUUGUAAACUUCUUUUGUCAGGGACGCAGCAAGUGACGGUACCUGACGAAUAAGCUACGGCUAACUACGUGCCAGCAGCCGUGGUAAGACGGAGGCGGCAAGCGUUAUCUGGAUUUACUGGGUGUAAAGGCCGUGUAGGCGGGACUGCAAGUCAGAUGUGAAAACCACGGGCUCGACCUGUGGCCUGCAUUUGAAACUGUAGUUCUUGAGUACUGGAGAGGCAGACGGAAUUCCUGGUGUAGCGGUGAAAUGCGUAGAUAUUAGGAGGAACACCAGUGGCG
RNAcentral lists this ribosomal RNA (365 nucleotides) under uncultured bacterium. RNAcentral describes it as "partial 16S ribosomal RNA". It matches the Rfam family "Bacterial small subunit ribosomal RNA", at positions 338 to 717 of the family's 1533-position model. The record is from RNAcentral.